UGGGGAAUAUUGGACAAUGGGGGAAACCCUGAUCCAGCCAUGCCGCGUGUGUGAAGAAGGCCUUUUGGUUGUAAAGCACUUUAAGCGAGGAGGAGGCUACCCUGAUUAAUACUCAGGAGUAGUGGACGUUACUCGCAGAAUAAGCACCGGCUAACUCUGUGCCAGCAGCCGCGGUAAUACAGAGGGUGCGAGCGUUAAUCGGAAUUACUGGGCGUAAAGCGCGCGUAGGCGGUCUAUUAAGUCGGAUGUGAAAGCCCUGAGCUUAACUUAGGAAUUGCAUUCGAUACUGGUAGACUAGAGUAUGGGAGAGGAAGGUAGAAUUCCAGGUGUAGCGGUGAAAUGCGUAGAUAUCUGGAGGAAUACCGAUGGCGAAGGCAGCCUUCUGGCCUAAUACUGACGCUGAGGUGCGAAAGCAUGGGGAGCAAACA
Molecule: ribosomal RNA, 428 nt
Filed under: uncultured Moraxellaceae bacterium
Lineage: Bacteria; Pseudomonadati; Pseudomonadota; Gammaproteobacteria; Moraxellales; Moraxellaceae
Description: bacterial SSU rRNA
Rfam family: Bacterial small subunit ribosomal RNA
Source: RNAcentral